UGGGGAAUUUUGGACAAUGGGCGCAAGCCUGAUCCAGCAAUGCCGCGUGCAGGAAGAAGGCCUUCGGGUUGUAAACUGCUUUUGUACGGAACGAAAAGGCUCUCUCUAAUACAGGGGGCUGAUGACGGUACCGUAAGAAUAAGCACCGGCUAACUACGUGCCAGCAGCCGCGGUAAUACGUAGGGUGCGAGCGUUAAUCGGAAUUACUGGGCGUAAAGCGUGCGCAGGCGGUUUUGUAAGACAGGUGUGAAAUCCCCGGGCUCAACCUGGGAAUGGCGUUUGUGACUGCAAAGCUGGAGUGCGGCAGAGGGGGAUGGAAUUCCGCGUGUAGCAGUGAAAUGCGUAGAUAUGCGGAGGAACACCGAUGGCGAAGGCAAUCCCCUGGGCCUGCACUGACGCUCAUGCACGAAAGCGUGGGGAGCAAACAGGAUUAGAUACCCUGGUAGUCCACGCCCUAAACGAUGUCAACUGGUUGUUGGGUCUUUACUGACUCAGUAACGAAGCUAACGCGUGAAGUUGACCGCCUGGGGAGUACGGCCGCAAGGUUG
This 548-nucleotide ribosomal RNA is filed under the name uncultured Pseudomonadota bacterium. Its description in RNAcentral is "bacterial SSU rRNA". It matches the Rfam family "Bacterial small subunit ribosomal RNA", at positions 355 to 896 of the family's 1533-position model. The record is from RNAcentral. Lineage: Bacteria; Pseudomonadati; Pseudomonadota.